Molecule: ribosomal RNA, 385 nt
Filed under: uncultured bacterium
Lineage: Bacteria
Description: bacterial SSU rRNA
Rfam family: Bacterial small subunit ribosomal RNA
Source: RNAcentral
GACGAACGCUGGCGGCGUGCUUAACACAUGCAAGUCGAGCGGAAAGGCCCUUCGGGGUACUCGAGCGGCGAACGGGUGAGUAACACGUGAGCAACCUGCCCUUGGCUUCGGGAUAACCAUCGGAAACGGUGGCUAAUACCGGAUAUGACCCAUAGUCGCAUGGCUAGUGGGUGGAAAGUUUUUCGGCCAGGGAUGGGCUCGCGGCCUAUCAGCUUGUUGGUGGGGGUAAUGGCCACCAAGGCGACGACGGGUAGCCGGCCUGAGAGGGCGACCGGCCACACUGGGACUGAGACACGGCCCAGACUCCUACGGGAGGCAGCAGUGGGGAAUCUUGCGCAAUGGGCGAAAGCCUGACGCAGCGACGCCGCGUGAGGGAUGACGGCCU